Molecule: ribosomal RNA, 254 nt
Filed under: uncultured bacterium
Lineage: Bacteria
Description: partial 16S ribosomal RNA
Rfam family: Bacterial small subunit ribosomal RNA
Source: RNAcentral
CACGUAGGCACCAAGCGUUGUCCGGAUUUAUUGGGCGUAAAGAGCUCGUAGGCGGUUCGGUAAGUCGGGUGUGAAAACUCUGGGCUCAACCCAGAGCCGCCACCCGAUACUGCUGUGACUUGAGUUCGGUAGGGGAGCGGGGAAUUCCUGGUGUAGCGGUGAAAUGCGCAGAUAUCAGGAGGAACACCAGUGGCGAAGGCGGCUCACUGGCCCGGUACUGACGCUGAGGUGCGAAAGCGUGGGGAGCAAACAGG